AAAAAAAAUCGUUUUUUUUUUUUUUUGCUUUGUGGGUAAGAAAAUGGCAAACCUGGGGGUGAAAAUUUUUCGUUAAAAAAAAUUCCGGUGUGUAUUAACCGUCGUUUAAAUUUGGAGGGGGCGUCAUGUGACCUAAUCACAAUUUCUGCAAAACUCGCGCGGGACGGAAACGAACAAAUGAGUUGUUAACGGUAAUAGAAAAGAGAGGCGCAGUCACAGAUCAGAUCCCCAAGCCAAGAUCCAUAAAAUGGCUACACUUGAACCACUUGAUGAACCUAAAGACAACAAGUCCAAGUCCAACUAUGUCAAGAGGAAUCAUGGCUCCACCAAGUUCUUCGUUUUUGUCGAUUAUCUUUUUCUCUGCAUUUUUCUUGGAUUCCUGUGUUUCAUCCUUCUCAAAUUUCUCGGUUUCUAUUGAUUAUUUUGUUAUGCACACUCCGUUAAACCAGGGUAUAACUUUACUAAAUUUUUAGUAAAAUUUUUAGUCAUGGAUAUGAGAAGUUCAAGUUCUAAGGCAUCUCAGGUUUUGGUAUCAUCAGAUUCAGAUUGUGUAAUUUAAGUUUAGAAUAUUUAUCUCGAAAUUGCUGAAGCCAUGUGAUACAAAUAUUUUCUUUUCAGACUUUUUUCUUUCUUCACUAUGUUACAACCCAUAUGUGUUAGCUUGGAAUUUUGAAGCCUAUGUUUGCAGCAUUCUGUCCUUAUCAAUAUUAAAUACUGUCUUUAUUUCAGCACCA
Molecule: long non-coding RNA, 734 nt
Organism: Mangifera indica (mango)
Lineage: Eukaryota; Viridiplantae; Streptophyta; Magnoliopsida; Sapindales; Anacardiaceae
Exons: 2
Source: RefSeq, a predicted model, not a curated record